Molecule: ribosomal RNA, 253 nt
Filed under: uncultured bacterium
Lineage: Bacteria
Description: partial 16S ribosomal RNA
Rfam family: Bacterial small subunit ribosomal RNA
Source: RNAcentral
UACGUAGGGUGCAAGCGUUGUCCGGAAUUAUUGGGCGUAAAGAGCGUGUAGGCGGCCCGAUUAGUCCGCUGUGAAAGCCCCGGGCUCAACCUGGGAAUGGCAAUGGAAACUGGCGGGCUAGAGUGUGGCAGAGGGGGGUGGAAUUCCGCGUGUAGCAGUGAAAUGCGUAGAGAUGCGGAGGAACACCGAUGGCGAAGGCAGCCCCCUGGGCUGACACUGACGCUCAGGCACGAAAGCGUGGGGAGCAAACAGG